This is a long non-coding RNA of Cyprinus carpio (common carp), 1169 nucleotides long. The record is from Ensembl. NCBI's taxonomy places the organism in Eukaryota, Metazoa, Chordata, Actinopteri, Cypriniformes, Cyprinidae.
UGUAGUGUGCAUCUUAAUUUCUGAUUAGAACAAAUCUGAUCAUCUGAGUUUCUGGUGGAGGUCUUCAGUUAAUGCUGUUAUGUACAUUUGUGUCAUUAAUCAUGGGCAGGUCAUAUUUCACCCCAAAACCAAGAAACUGUGUAAAGAUGUAAUUUAAGAAUUAUUUCUGUUGUUGUUGUAGUUCAUUAGUCAAUCCCUCCUAUAUUUCAGAAACCACAGCAAACAUAUACAGAGAAUAUUCGUUCAAUCGUAAUAACAUUUGUAAAGUAUAAUGUUAGCAUUUGUUGUGCUUUCAGUUUAAUUCUGAUUUUAUUUUAAAUGUUGUAGUAUUGUGUCUAACAGGAGGAUCUUCAUUACUGCAUCACAGUAAGAAGGCAUUCUUUUCUAAUUUUGGCCAGAAUUGAAGAGCUUUAAAGCAGUGAUUUGGGGAUGAAAUAUUAAAUAAGACAUUUCUCUCUCAGGCACAGCUUCAGAGCUGAUUGUGGUUCCUCUGGAAGCUCACAGGAUCAGAGGUUAGUGUUGUUUGGACGUGUUCUGUUGAAACUGAAGUAAUUUGACAGCUGUUGCAUGAGCAUUUAAUGUCUGCGGCUGAAUCGUGUUUGUAUCCUGCUCUGUUUUCUGACAGAAUCGUGUCACAUUUACACACAUGCAGCGUUUCAAUCAUUUCCAUCAUUACCUUGAUCCAGUCCAAUUCUAUCGUAUUUAAAAAUCUCUAGCCUUUAUCUACAAAAAUAUAAUGUGGAAAGUGUAUGUUAUUUAACAGUAAUGCUGUGUUUUUAAUUUCCCUUGACUCUCGCAGAGCUCGGUCUUGUUUGUUCAAAGUCACAGAAACCCGAUCUUCAGGCGAGCAGAUAUUAAUAGUGUGUGUGGGAUCUCCUGAGAGCCUGUGUUUGGCGUGUAAUCGAACCCUUGGCUCUGGGGUCAGUCGUCCACCGCAGGAACUGCUCAAUCUCAGAUCACAGGAGCACAUUCUCAGCAGAGACUCUGAUCAGUUCUCAGAAGGAUGGAGAUCUGGACUGAUGUUGGAUGGAAAGCACAUCUUGUAUCUUUGUAAUGUGUUUUCAGCUGGAAGGUUGGGAUGUUCUUCAUGUGCUGUAAAAAAGAUUCUAAAAUAAAGUAAAAUAAUUAUUUUAGAGUACAUAUUGCAAUAAAAAAACAAAACAAAUCCA